Molecule: ribosomal RNA, 1049 nt
Filed under: Salmonella enterica subsp. enterica serovar Oranienburg
Lineage: Bacteria; Pseudomonadati; Pseudomonadota; Gammaproteobacteria; Enterobacterales; Enterobacteriaceae
Description: partial 23S ribosomal RNA
Rfam family: Bacterial large subunit ribosomal RNA
Source: RNAcentral
AGACCCGAAACCCGGUGAUCUAGCCAUGGGCAGGUUGAAGGUUGGGUAACACUAACUGGAGGACCGAACCGACUAAUGUUGAAAAAUUAGCGGAUGACCUGUGGCUGGGGGUGAAAGGCCAAUCAAACCGGGAGAUAGCUGGUUCUCCCCGAAAGCUAUUUAGGUAGCGCCUCGUGAAUUCAUCUCCGGGGGUAGAGCACUGUUUCGGCUAGGGGGCCAUCCCGGCUUACCAACCCGAUGCAAACUGCGAAUACCGGAGAAUGUUAUCACGGGAGACACACGGCGGGUGCUAACGUCCGUCGUGAAGAGGGAAACAACCCAGACCGCCAGCUAAGGUCCCAAAGUCAUGGUUAAGUGGGAAACGAUGUGGGAAGGCCCAGACAGCCAGGAUGUUGGCUUAGAAGCAGCCAUCAUUUAAAGAAAGCGUAAUAGCUCACUGGUCGAGUCGGCCUGCGCGGAAGAUGUAACGGGGCUAAACCAUGCACCGAAGCUGCGGCAGCGACACUCAGGUGUUGUUGGGUAGGGGAGCGUUCUGUAAGCCUGCGAAGGUGUGUCGUGAGGCAUGCUGGAGGUAUCAGAAGUGCGAAUGCUGACAUAAGUAACGAUAAAGCGGGUGAAAAGCCCGCUCGCCGGAAGACCAAGGGUUCCUGUCCAACGUUAAUCGGGGCAGGGUGAGUCGACCCCUAAGGCGAGGCCGAAAGGCGUAGUCGAUGGGAAACGGGUUAAUAUUCCCGUACUUGGUGUUACUGCGAAGGGGGGACGGAGAAGGCUAUGUUGGCCGGGCGACGGUUGUCCCGGUUUAAGCGUGUAGGUGUGUGUUCCAGGUAAAUCCGGUUCACUUUAACACUGAGGCGUGACGACGAGGCACUACGGUGCUGAAGCAACAAAUGCCCUGCUUCCAGGAAAAGCCUCUAAGCAUCAGGUAACAUCAAAUCGUACCCCAAACCGACACAGGUGGUCAGGUAGAGAAUACCAAGGCGCUUGAGAGAACUCGGGUGAAGGAACUAGGCAAAAUGGUGCCGUAACUUCGGGAGAAGGCACGCUGACAC